GUGAAAGUAUGCCUCGCCAUGAAAACUUUCAGGUUACCGUCACAUAAGAUAAUCACUAUGGUGACUUUAUUUCUCUGUGGUGUCCCAGGUUUUGCUACUUGCAUCAGUGAUGGCUGGGUGUAGAAGGAAAAGCAGGAGUCUGGACUAUGCAUCAGGUCCUGAUGAAACAGAUGAAGUUCUGAACAGAGCAAAAUAAGGAAACAGAAGAAUAUGCUAUUCUUCGUCAUUCCUCUGCACACAUUUAAGGAGAAAUGCUAGCCAACAGCUUGUCAUUUCACUGAGACAUAGAUACGCAGUGAUACAACUUUCAGACAGUUAAAUGAGUGGCUUGCAGCUAAAAGAGAAAGCUGGGAAGAACAAUCUGAGACCAAAUCUCUCACUUCGAAGCAUCACCACCUAAAUGCUCUUUAAUCCAUAAACAGGAAGGUGAUAUGAGCUCACAGCCAUCCUUCUACUAAAGUGAGAGCCAGUAAUAGACCCCUGACCUCCGAGAAUUACAAGACUGAGAUCUAAGAAAGUGAUUUGUGGCUCAUAUUGGACAAACAAUUAUCUAGCACUAGUCCCAGAAAAUCUACAUGCUGUUUUCUGAAAGGGUCAUACAGCUCAAGUGGAUUCUUAGUGAAAUUAGCUAUUUUCUAAUUGUAGAGCUAAUUAAAUUGUAAAGAGAGACCUGUUGGCAUUGGAAACAGUAUUCACAUUCAUCAGAUACAGCCUCCUUAUUAAAAGAGCUGUUAAACUACUUUAGGCUGGCUGAACCUUGCUACACCUGCCCAAUCCAGGUGUCUUCCAGUAUCUAUGGAGAAUAUUUGCCUAGUGGAAAUGAGAUAAUUUUAAGGCAUGUUUUUGUGACAAAUGUCUCUCAGAGAUAAGUAUACAUCUGCUUCCUUCAGACAGUGAACAAAGCAAUAGACAGAUACUGGGAUACUCUUUCAUCUGCUCAUGGCAUUAGCAAUGGGAAGGUAUAUAUAGCUAGGUGGACCUUUUGCUGCAUCCUACAUUUAAUAUGCAGGAUUUACAUCACUAAAAAAAUACAACCAAGAAAAAAAAAGAAACCAAAUCAAACAAAAAGAACUCUGAGACAAAAAAAUCUUCAAAAAUAUUGUGUAAGGAAAUGCAGAUUUCUGUUCCAUAAAAUGAAGAAGAGAAACAUUGUCCAACAUAAUAAGUGCUAGCUCUCCUAGCAGCCACCAUUACCUUAUUCAUUAAAAUGUCAGUGUGUCCUUCUCUAAAAACAGGGGUUUGGAACAUUUAAAUACUACCUGUAAACAGAAUGACUUUUCUAUGAAAAUGUAGAAGUUAAAACAUCAUAUAGUUUUAUCAAUAUCAUCCAAAUAUGCAUAUUUUACCAGAAAUUUGCUACUAGUUAUAGAUGAACGUGUGAAUUAAAAUGGUAAAGAAUUCAGUACUGAAUAAAAAUAUUUUUAGCCCAGCAUGUGUCAUAUAUCUCGUAUCUUUAGGCUGCUAUUAAUAAAGUGUUCCUAUAUGAAACAAGAAAAGGCAUUGGCAAGGAUUGAAAAAAUAUAAUUUUUUGUCAUUUCCACUUUGAAAACCAAUUCAUUGAUAAUAGCAGAAAGCUUUCCAUAUUUUCCUGUUCAUGAAUACUUCAGAUUAUUAAAUCCCUUAAAAGUGCCUAUAUUUGAAAACAAAUCCUUGGAUAAUGCAUGCCAUCAGACAAUUGACUCCUUCAGGCAGCCUUGGCAAAAUUAAGAGUUAAAAGAAGGUGGAAAUCAGAGACAAGUGAAGACAGACUUAGUUGAAAUCUUAUAUUACUUAUUGUAGUUCUUACUUCUUCCCUAAAUGUCAAUCAAUGCAAAACCAGCACACUUAUACAGACAUGUAUACAUGUAUAAUAAUAAAAUUAAAGUAAAUAGAUACAUAAACCCAUAGUGCUGGUGAAACAUAGGUGUUAGGUUGGUUUUGCCUUUUUAAGUAGUGUUGAUAACAAUGUUUCAAUGUUCUAACAUAUGACCUCUUCACUGAGUGAGACUGAAGUCGCUGUGGUUUCUAUUUACCAAGUUAACCUGGUGAAAUUAUGAUCAGAAAAAAACCAAUAAAGGUGGCAGGUUGGCAGCUCUGCU
This is a non-coding RNA of Cyanistes caeruleus (blue tit), 2078 nucleotides long. NCBI's taxonomy places the organism in Eukaryota, Metazoa, Chordata, Aves, Passeriformes, Paridae. The record is from RefSeq and is a predicted model, not a curated record.